Molecule: long non-coding RNA, 719 nt
Organism: Ostrea edulis (European flat oyster)
Lineage: Eukaryota; Metazoa; Mollusca; Bivalvia; Ostreida; Ostreidae
Exons: 4
Source: RefSeq, a predicted model, not a curated record
UUAAAGUACUCUUUUGCUUUUAGGGAAAAUGUUCAAGCAUGAUGAGAAACUGCGCCAUUGUUUCACUUACAGAAGCCAAUGUUGAGGAUGAUGCAUGUUCAGUGAAGGACCCUGAUUAUGAACCAGACCACUGCUCCGACAGUGAUUCAGACUCUCUAAUUGAAGAAAACCAAGAUGAUCUUCCUGACAGUUUUAGGAAAGUGACCUCAUGAUAGAAGUUUCAGAAUGUCCUACCAUUGAUCCUGGAAGUGAAAAAGUAUCUGAUAGUGAAGAAAGCUACGGUAGCAUAGAGAGUGAAAACUAUCCCAUGCUCUCUGGAAAGAAAGAAGAAGACAUUUCUUUUUAAGCCAUAAGGUGUUCCCAAAAAUUCAAUUGGAAACUUUAACAAACUGCAUGCCUGCUUUUUUGUGCUAAGAUGAUUGCUAACAUUGCAAGACAUCUUGAACUAGCACACAAAGCAGAAGUUGAAGUAGCCAGGGUUUUAGCUUUCCCCCCAAAAAGCAAAGAAAGGGGAUAAAUGAGGGAGGAACUUCAAAGUAUUAAUGUGUGCGUUGUAAUCACUAGUAAAACCGAUUUUGCUUAACAUACAUUUUUUCUAUGCACUGCAUAAUUAUGUAGAUGCAAUAACUGGGACUUAACAUUUGAAAAGAAGUUGUUUGUGAUUCUUUGCAAUUGUACGAUGAACCUGUAAGUUACAUCAUUAAAUAUAAUGCUAGAUU